UUGAGAAUUUUCUGCUCUGAAGACAAAGACAAGGCCUAAAUCAGCCAGUUGAUCCCAAUCCUGUGGCCUCACUAUUGGUUUGAGGGCUGUUGUGGUCCUUUUGAUACCACAAGGGAGAAGUAUGUUGGAGAAAAAAGCCAAAACAUGGAGGAGAACACAGCUAACAUAGGGAGAAACAGAGUCCUGGUGAUAGAAACAGAGCUCAUGAAUCCAGCCAUACUUGAAAAGAAAACUACUACUUGCAGGAUCUCACUAUGCAGUCCAGGCUGGCCUUGAUCUUGAGGUGAUCUUCCUGCCUCAGCCUACUGAGUGCUGGGAUUACAGGCAUGCACCACUAUACCUGGCAAGCCACUACUCAUUAUGUAGCCCAUACUGGCUUUGAACUUGUACUCCUGAUGCCUCAGGUUCCCAAGAGCUGGUAUUACAGACACUUCCAGAUGUACCCUGUUCUGAGAAGACUUGGAUCAUAGUACAGCCUGUCCUGUGUCAAAUAGGUGAACACGACUUCUGCUAAGACU
RNAcentral lists this long non-coding RNA (518 nucleotides) under Heterocephalus glaber (naked mole-rat). Its description in RNAcentral is "lncRNA (ENSHGLG00100048208.1)". The record is from RNAcentral. Lineage: Eukaryota; Metazoa; Chordata; Mammalia; Rodentia; Bathyergidae.